Long non-coding RNA from Cannabis sativa, 697 nucleotides. RefSeq lists it as uncharacterized. The record is from RefSeq and is a predicted model, not a curated record. The transcript has 3 exons. Lineage: Eukaryota; Viridiplantae; Streptophyta; Magnoliopsida; Rosales; Cannabaceae.
GGAUGGUGAUGGUGAUGAUGAUAUGGUUGAUGAUGAGGAGAAGGAUGAUGAUGAAGACUGCCAAGGGAAUGCAAUGCAUAAUCAAGCUUAAUCAUAUAUCUAAUUAAUUUCAUCUUUCUUAUCAUGCACCAGAGGAUUUGUUUUUUGAAUGGAGGAAUAUGCAGUGCAGUGCAGGGAGCUCUCUUAUAUUUUAACAUAUUAUAAUAUAAUAUUUGUUUGAGGCUUAAUUCCAAUCAGUCCCUUCACUACCAACCAAGCCUUCCUACUUUUUCUUAGUUUUUGAAAUGAAUAAUUAAUAAAUAGAUGAGCAUCAUUGUAUGUAAAAAAACAAAAUCGAAGAUAUACACUAUAUUUCUAGUAGUGUAAGAAGAAGAGAAACCUGAAGAGGAAUAUAUUGGCUUCUUCCCAAGAGUCUAAUAGCAUUCAAGUACCCACUCUUAACUGUGUAUCCCUAAGAAGUUGUAAUGCCAAAUCAGUCUGUCUUGAGAGCUUCAUCACACGAAAAAUAGGUCCUUAAGAACUUUGUUCCAAUCCCCAUUAAGAAGCUUAAGAUCACUAACCAUGGCAACAUGCGGUUGCGGUUGGGGGCAAAAUGAAUAAGAGAUACCCGCAUACUUGAUAUUCACAUUAGAACCAUCCCCAACUCUACUCUACCCCAAGGGAAAAGAGCUUCUAGACGUAUCUUCCAAAUAUUUAU